Molecule: ribosomal RNA, 253 nt
Filed under: uncultured bacterium
Lineage: Bacteria
Also listed under: 1 other name
Description: partial 16S ribosomal RNA
Rfam family: Bacterial small subunit ribosomal RNA
Source: RNAcentral
UUCGGGUGAGGCAAGCGUUGUUCGGAAUCACUGGGCUUAAAGCGCGUGUAGGCGGCUCGGUAAGUACCUUGUGAAAUCCCUUCUCUCAAUGAAGGAACCGCUUGGUAUACUGCCGGGCUGGAGGCAGGUAGGGGUCACUGGAACUCUAGGUGGAGCGGUGAAAUGCGUAGAUAUCUAGAGGAACGCCCGUGGCGAAAGCGGGUGACUGGGCCUGUCCUGACGCUGAGACGCGAAAGCGUGGGUAGCAAACGGG